This 253-nucleotide ribosomal RNA is filed under the name uncultured bacterium. Its description in RNAcentral is "partial 16S ribosomal RNA". It matches the Rfam family "Bacterial small subunit ribosomal RNA", at positions 524 to 776 of the family's 1533-position model. The record is from RNAcentral.
UACGAACUGUGCGAACGUUACUCGGAAUCACUGGGCUUACAGGGUGCGUAGGUGGCUUAUUAAGCAGGGUGUGAAAUCCCUCGGCUCAACCGAGGAACCGCGCUCUGAACUGAUGAGCUGGAGUAUGCUAGAGGUGCAUGGAACAUCCAGUGGAGCGGUGAAAUGUGUUGAUAUUGGAUGGAACACCAGAGGCGAAGGCGAUUCACUGGGGCAUAACUGACACUGAGGUACGAAAGCCAGGGGAGCAAACGGG